Molecule: ribosomal RNA, 514 nt
Filed under: uncultured bacterium
Lineage: Bacteria
Description: partial 16S ribosomal RNA
Rfam family: Bacterial small subunit ribosomal RNA
Source: RNAcentral
GAUGAACGCUGGCGGCGUGCCUAAUACAUGCAAGUCGAGCGAACUGAUUAGAAGCUUGCUUCUAUGACGUUAGCGGCGGACGGGUGAGUAACACGUGGGCAACCUGCCUGUAAGACUGGGAUAACUUCGGGAAACCGAAGCUAAUACCGGAUAGGAUCUUCUCCUUCUUGGGAGAUGAUUGAAAGAUGGUUUCGGCUAUCACUUACAGAUGGGCCCGCGGUGCAUUAGCUAGUUGGUGAGGUAACGGCUCACCAAGGCAACGAUGCAUAGCCGACCUGAGAGGGUGAUCGGCCACACUGGGACUGAGACACGGCCCAGACUCCUACGGGAGGCAGCAGUAGGGAAUCUUCCGCAAUGGACGAAAGUCUGACGGAGCAACGCCGCGUGAGUGAUGAAGGCUCUCGGGUCGUAAAACUCUGUUGUUAGGGAAGAAUAAGUACAAGAGUAACUGCUUGUACCUUGACGGUACCUAACCAGAAAGCCACGGCUAACUACGUGCCAGCCGCCGCAGUAA